Molecule: long non-coding RNA, 813 nt
Filed under: Homo sapiens (human)
Lineage: Eukaryota; Metazoa; Chordata; Mammalia; Primates; Hominidae
Description: long non-coding RNA NONHSAT189163.1
Source: RNAcentral
CUUCUCUGCAAAUGGGCUCCGUGGCCUAGCGCCCCCGUCCCCGCCACCCGUGAUCGUGCGCCGAGGCCCGCGAGGGGUCGCCGCCCAGAUCCCACCAGCCAGCAAGCUAAAGCAUGGCGGCCAUCCCCUCCAGCGGCUCGCUCGUGGCCACCCACGACUACUACCGGCGUGAGUAGCCCCUGCCCCCCAUCCACGCGGAUGCUCUGCUGGCGCCAGUGCCGGCCCCGUGCAGGCUGCGGAACCAGCGCUCGGCCUGAAGGCCGGUGGGCUGGGGGGCUCCGCGCCCCGCGUUGCUGACGGGACCUCUCCUCUCCAGGCCGCCUGGGUUCCACUUCCAGCAACAGCUCCUGCAGCAGUACCGAGUGCCCCGGGGAAGCCAUUCCCCACCCCCCAGGUCUCCCCAAGGCUGACCCGGGUCAUUGGUGGGCCAGCUUCUUUUUCGGGAAGUCCACCCUCCCGUUCAUGGCCACGGUGUUGGAGUCCGCAGAGCACUCGGAACCUCCCCAGGCCUCCAGCAGCAUGACCGCCUGUGGCCUGGCUCGGGACGCCCCGAGGAAGCAGCCCGGCGGUCAGUCCAGCACAGCCAGCGCUGGGCCCCCGUCCUGACCUGAGCGGUUACCACCAGCCCCAGGCCUGCGGAGGCGCUAGUCCACCAGAGCCCCUCCCCGCCCCUCUCCCCACUCCGCAUCCCUCGCCCCCCUCCCCACCUCCCACCCCCCACCCUGUAAACUAGGCGGCUGCAGCAAGCAGACCUUCGCAUCAACACAGCAGACACCAAAAACCAGUGAGAGCCCCGCUCUCUACCGCCCGGCC